UACGUAGGGGGCGAGCGUUGUCCGGAAUUACUGGGCGUAAAGCGAGCGUAGGCGGCACUACAAGUCUCAUGUGAAAUACCCGGGCUUAACUUGGGGGUUGCAUGGGAAACUGUAGAGCUUGAGUACAGGAGAGGCAAGCGGAAUUCCUAGUGUAGCGGUGAAAUGCAUAGAUAUUAGGAGGAACACCAGUGGCGAAGGCGGCUUGCUGGACUGAAACUGACGCUGAGGCUCGAAAGCGUGGGGAGCAAACAGG
Molecule: ribosomal RNA, 253 nt
Filed under: uncultured bacterium
Lineage: Bacteria
Description: partial 16S ribosomal RNA
Rfam family: Bacterial small subunit ribosomal RNA
Source: RNAcentral